UCCUCACGGCACAAAGCCGGGUCUAGUUUGCGUUGCGGACUGAUCGGCUGCAGAACUACCAGUACCGAGAUGCUCCCCAAAAAUAAAUGAUGGGAAAAGAGGUGAUGGUUUCCGGGAAGAGUGUGAAGUGUUUGGACCCGGGCGCUGCUGGAAGAAGAAGGAGAAGAAGAAGAAGAAGAGGGGAAAGUGAGGUGAGGAAACGACCGAGCUGUUGUUUAUAAAGCGGGUGUAACUAUUUUCGAGGAGGAAGAGAGUGAGGAGGAGGGAUGACUGAGGAGCAAACAAAGCGGAAUCGUCCCGGAAGUUGUGUUAUUGUUCACUCCGGUGUCCCUCUGACAGUCUGAGCAGCAUCAGCCUGCAGAGAGAGAGAGAGGCUGAGAAGCUCCACACACACACCGCGGCUCCAUCCUCUUCACCCUGCCACAGAUCCCAGCUCAGACGCUUUUCACGCCUUAAACCGAGUCGACACCUCAGCACAUCCUCUGGCAGGGAGCAGAAAUGGACAGCCUGGCUCCUGGCCCUCGGAACACAAGGACACAUACAUGUGGAGCGUGUUAGUGCGCGGGACUCAGUGAGAAGUUGGGCUCGUACUCUGUAGCCUUUGGACAAGAUGGAGGGACACCGAGGAGGAAGAAAAAAGUUUAGCAAAGACAAAGAGCAUUUUUGGGCUGCUUGUGAAAGUGGGCCACUGGUCCCUGUGGUGAGUGGUGGUUUUCUGGGGCAGGCUCRGCGGUGACGCUCACCCAGCCUGGAUUGGGAACAAGGCGCCCUCGUCCCUUCCGUUUCGAAGCUCAUUCUCCGCAGGAUGAUCAGCUCACUCCACCUGUCUCAGGUAACAUUACA
This is a long non-coding RNA of Austrofundulus limnaeus, 843 nucleotides long. RefSeq lists it as uncharacterized. The record is from RefSeq and is a predicted model, not a curated record. The transcript has 3 exons. Lineage: Eukaryota; Metazoa; Chordata; Actinopteri; Cyprinodontiformes; Rivulidae.